AUGCUACCUUGGGCCCUUAUAAUCAGCUAAUGCUCCCUGUUUUAAGUGCUUGCCAUUUGUUUUAUUUUGGGAGAAGAGAAAGAGGCAAAGUGUAGGUGAGAGAGAGGUUACCUCUUCUCAAAUAUUUCCAUCUGUCAUGAAUCUUAGUAUCUUAGGCAAUCAUUGUACAGUGCUGUAAGCUGCAGCAACUUUGCAUGAGAGAAAAUAUCAAAUUCUCUCCUGGAUGGGUCCAAACCAGGUGAUUUACCCUGGGUUAGAUUCAUGUUUUUUUAGUUCAUCCCUGGCAUACAUAUAGAUGGAAACCUGCAUGGUUCCAGAAUUGGUCUUCAAACUAGACAUAGACCUGUUGGGUAGGGGGCCUUUUAUAGUCAUUACCUUUUGGUGUGCCAAAGAAAAGUGGGAAUGUUCAAGAAAUUUUUGGCAAGUUGUUCUUGUGGGUUUCCAGUACAUGUGCCUCCAGAAUGGAUAUCAUCACAAGUUUGUGAUUGGAAAUUUAAGUAAUACCUAAGGUCUGGUGAAAAAUGAAUUUAUAUCUUUUAUUAUUACUCAGGGAUACAUUUCAUACCCUUUUUGGUCAAGCCUAGCAAUUGAAUCAAAUGGUUGAGUACUAUGUUUUUUAAAACAUUUAAAAGUACCUUAUGGUACAGUGAGACAAUCU
This 658-nucleotide long non-coding RNA is filed under the name Bos taurus (domestic cattle). RNAcentral's name for it is "long non-coding RNA NONBTAT024814". The record is from RNAcentral. Lineage: Eukaryota; Metazoa; Chordata; Mammalia; Artiodactyla; Bovidae.